Molecule: ribosomal RNA, 734 nt
Filed under: Triticum aestivum (bread wheat)
Lineage: Eukaryota; Viridiplantae; Streptophyta; Magnoliopsida; Poales; Poaceae
Description: partial small subunit ribosomal RNA
Source: RNAcentral
GUCUGCUUCACCUCACCUCACCGUCCAGCAGCAGUAGCCAUCGCCACCUCACCCCCGCCUCUUCCGGUCCAGUUCACCCCUGCUUCCCGCCGCUUUCCUCCCCGCUCUGUGCACUGUAAGCGUGCACGCGCGCACCUGCCCUGCCUCUAACGGCGGUGGUAUAAAUCAGAGCUCCCCUGGCUCCGGCAGACGCCUCGGUUUCUCUCUUUCUUCACGCUCCCUCCCCACAAGCUGACGUCCUGACCACCCUCUGCAAGCUCGCCUCUCCCCACGCUGGCAACCGGGAUGAGCUGCGGCGGCGGCCAGAAGGCGGCACCGGCAACGGCAAGGGCACGCCCUCGCUGCAUCCCCAAGAGAGGGGCGGUGCUGAGGGGAGCCGUUCGCGGCGCGCUCCGCUUCCUCCUUUCCCCGGUGAACGGCGCACCGGCGGUCGGCGGCCGCGUGCAGCCAGCCCCCCCGCCCAACCCGGGGGGAGGUGACGCCGCGGCGGAGCAGGGGAAGUAGGCGGGAGGCAUCGUAUCGUUCGCCGGGUUUAGUUCAGCGAGCCAACCAUUUUAUCUCGGCCGUGUCCGUUAAUUAUGCUUCGUUCGUGUUGCUCGCCACAUCCAUGUUUUGCAUCAACUGCUCUUUCUUACUAAUCUGUUCAUCAACUGCUUCUGUUUGCGGUAAACGGCCACAUAACAAAACAACACAUUUGAUCCAUCCCUCCCCUUCAUCACAGAGCAAAAAUCACG